Molecule: ribosomal RNA, 468 nt
Filed under: uncultured bacterium
Lineage: Bacteria
Description: partial 16S ribosomal RNA
Rfam family: Bacterial small subunit ribosomal RNA
Source: RNAcentral
GACGAACGCUGGCGGCGUGCUUAACACAUGCAAGUCGAACGGAAAGGCCCUGCUUUUGUGGGGUGCUCGAGUGGCGAACGGGUGAGUAACACGUGAGUAACCUGCCCUUGACUUUGGGAUAACUUCAGGAAACUGGGGCUAAUACCGGAUAGGAGCUCCUGCUGCAUGGUGGGGGUUGGAAAGUUUCGGCGGUUGGGGAUGGACUCGCGGGUUAUCAGCUUGUUGGUGGGGUAGUGGCUUACCAAGGCUUUGACGGGUAGCCGGCCUGAGAGGGUGACCGGCCACAUGGGGACUGAGAUACGGCCCAGACUGCUACGGGAGGCAGCAGUGGGGAAUAUUGCACAAUGGGCGGGAGCCUGAUGAAGCAACGCCGCGUGCGGGAUGACGGCCUUCGGGUUGUAAACCGCUUUCGCCUGUGACGAAGCGUGAGUGACGGUAAUGGGUAAAGAAGCACCGGCUAACUACGUG